Molecule: RNA transcript, 3697 nt
Organism: Conger conger (European conger)
Lineage: Eukaryota; Metazoa; Chordata; Actinopteri; Anguilliformes; Congridae
Gene: fam72a
Gene name: family with sequence similarity 72 member A
Exons: 5
Source: RefSeq, a predicted model, not a curated record
CAGACAAAUGCUAGCUCGACUAGGCUAGCAAGCUCCGCAUUAAAACCUCACUUACUCGCUUGUCUUCACACAGAUUUGUUUAUUUUUUUUAAAGACAAAUUACCUAUACUUAUAAGGGAGAGAUUCGUGCUUUAUAUGUAGAGAUUGUUUUGUUAACUGAGCUAGCUAGCUACAGUAGUGAAAUGCUGGUAUAGUAAACCAGCACAGAGCCUACUGUUAGCUUACUUGAUAUUACCAUCAGCUACUGUUGGCUACAUAUGCUAACUAGCAGGGUUAUGUCACGGCUUAACUGCAGUUAGAUAGCUCUAGCUAGUUAUCCUAGCUACCUUGGUAACUGCAGCGUAGCUAUCUAUCUUGCUAACAUUAGCCUGUUAGCCGAUGAGCAGCUGCAUUGUCCGUGUUGUUUGUUGUGGUACAGUAGAACCAGUGAAAACCAGCAUCAGGAUUUAUAACUUAAGAGAGAGGAGAGUCAGUCCUCAUGUCUACAUCCAACUUCAAAAAUAAAUGUGUGUCUGAGGUGAGCUGUAUUUAUUGCGACAGCUUGCUCUGCACGAGAGGAAUGAAAGCCGUACUUUUAGCAGACACAGAAAUCGAGCUUUACUCAACGGACAUACCACCGAACAGAACAGUCGACUUCGUAGCAAGUUGCUACUCCACGGACAGCUGUAAAUGCAAACUAAGAGACAUCGCGUGUCUGAAAUGUGGUAAUGUUGUGGGGUAUCACGUGGUGGCCCCCUGUAAGCCCUGCCUGCUAUCCUGCAACAACGGGCACUUCUGGAUGUUCAACAGCGACUCUGUCUCCACUGUCAACAGGCUGGACUCAUCCGGGCUGAACUUGUUGCUGUGGGGAGACCUGCCGGAGCUGGAGGGCAGUGAGGAUGAGGGGUGCUGCAGCCUGGGGGAGGAGGACUGGAUCCGGUAGGGCGGUGUGGAUCCUGGAUCCGGUAGGGCGGUGUGGAUCCUGGAUCCGGUAGGGCGGUGUGGAUCCUGGCCCCGCCUACAGGCCUCACUGCAGCCUCCCAGCCAAUCACGUCACUGCAACGACCUCACACAGGAAGUACUUUCAGCAGUUACCCUCAACCUCGGACAGACUGCUGGUCACACGGUUAGCUGUGUGUGUGUCUGGCUCCUCCACUUGCAUUGGGAUUCCAGGCUGUCUGAUAUCCUCAUCACAACUCCUCCGUAGGUAAUACUCAGUGCUGAUUGAGAGUAGCUUCUUCAGAGCUUUGUUCAGCCAGUGGACAAUAAGGCUGAUUAGCAGAGGUUUUAUUUCUCUCACUCUGUUGUGAAAAUAUCAUUGCAGAAAAACCACCUGCACUGACUGUGAUUAACACAAAAACUGUACACAGACGUCCUAUCGUCCUGUCAAAACAAGACUUGCAAGCUUGAGAACUGUUUGGUAUGGUGGGAAUAAGGUUUUGGUCCUGAAAUGUGUGGUAUUUAAAGGAUAUAUUCUUGCUUGGCGUUGAAUGUGUGAACAGGACGAUGGGCUCUGCUUGGCUCUGAUUGGCUGUGGGCCCUGAGUGGGUUUCGGGUGUGUGUUGUGAUUGGCUGUGGGCCCUGAGUGGGUUUCGGGUGUGUGUUGUGAUUGGCUGUGGGCUUUUCCCUGUGGUGACACAUGAAAUGAAGUCUUCAUUCAUUUGGCUCUUGGGGCGCCCCUGUGGCUAGUGGUUACUGCAGUGCUUGAAGCUGAUAUUCUUAAAGCCAAAAUGCUUGUGCUGAAUGGUGAGUGUGUGAGUGUGUGAGUGUGUGAGUGUGUGAGUGUGUGAGUGUGUGAGUGUGUGAGAGUGUGAGAGUGUGAGUGUGUGAGUGUGUGAGUGUGUGAGAGUGUGAGAGUGUGAGUGUGUGAGUGUGUGAGUGUGUGAGUGUGUGAGAGUGUGUGAGAGUGUGAGAGUGUGACCUCCUGCCCUGUCCUUGGGAAGCGCAGUGGGGUGCAGUUGACUGUAAUGUUGUGAUUUGAGAUGUUUGGCAGGCUGAUGUGGUGCUACUCUGACAGUGACUUGUCACUGGAGUGUGUGAAUAUGCAAUGCUGACAGUUACUGGCCUGCAGUAUUACUCCUGAGAAUUUUGUUUUUAACAAGUCAUUCGCAUUAAUUUAAUAGUUGUCUGGAAAACCAGCGUUUAUUCAUUCAUUCUUUGUUUUGUUUUGUGAGCAUUUAAACUCUGCUCAAGCCUGACCUGAGAAGUGUAAUGGAAUAGCACCAUAGAAACCCUCCUACUGAGUCACAUGUGAAACACCAUAUAAAGGUGGAAUGGAUAGAGUGCUAUUCAUUUACAUGCAGAUUGUGUGUGUGUGUGUGUUUGUGUGUGUCUGUCUGAGGUACAGGUGUGUGUGUGUGUGUGUGUGUGUCUGUCUGUCUGAGGUACAAGUGUGUGUGUCUGUGUCUGAGGUACAGGUGUGUGUGUGUGUGUGUUUGUGUCUGUCUGAGGUACAGGUGUGUGUGUGUGUCUGUCUGAGGUACAGGUGUGUGUGUGUGUGUGUGUGUCUGUCUGUCUGAGGUACAAGUGUGUGUGUCUGUGUCUGAGGUACAGGUGUGUGUGUGUGUGUGUGUGUGUGUGUGUGUGUGUAUGUAUGUGUUUCUGUCUGUCUGAGGUACAGGUGUGUGUGUGAGGUACAGGUGUGUGCGUGUGUUGAGUGUAGCACUGGAGAGCUGUUUACAUGCCCUUUUCUCUUUAAGCAAAACCUCCAUUUUAGAAACUGACUCUUGCUUGCAUCACAGAUUUAUAGCAAAAGCUUUAGUGUCAUUUGAAGCACAACUAGAGCUAGUAAAGGAAUGAAAAUGUUGAGCUCAUGUUAUGCCUGUUUCUUGUUGAAUGUUUUUCCAUGAUGCACUGGCACCUGGAAAGGAUGGAAUUGAGAACCAAAUCCUAUCAUAACCAUCACAGAGAGAGGAAAAAUGUGUAAAAAUGCAACUUAGAAUGUUCCCUUUUGCUUAAUGCUUAUACAAUAGACAUGGCUUGGGGAGCAAGUGUGUGACUCCAGCUCGUUCUGAUUCUGACAUUUCAGGGGUCAUUUCAGGGGUCAUUUCAGGGCUCAUUUCAGGGCUCAUUUCAGGGCUCAUUUCAGGGCUCUCUGAUCAGAGUUACUCAUCUUUCAAUGCCUGAAGGACAGGCAGUUAUGGACUGAAAGCGUAUGAAACUAAUGGUCAGACAGAUUUUCGUUUUCUCAUCACCACUGCGUCUGGGACGUGGAAAGUAUCAGAAACGCAACCAGUCAUUUCCUCAUUUUCAGAGUUCUUCAAACCGAGUUUAAAUCAUUCACGCUGUGAUCUCCUCUCAUGCCCCUGCACCAUGGAGAAGUGUUCUGUCUGUCUGUCUGUCUGUCUGUCUGUCUUUGGCCUUUAUGCACUGUAAUACACACAUUUUGUACUUAAAAUACAUUGUAUUUUGAUAUUGUUAAUUUCAUUAUCAAAAGGUUUUUUUGCCUUUUUAAUUUGAGUGUAGCAAAGUCAUGAAAUCAGAACUGUUAAAAAGGAAUGAAGAGGUAAAAUGGUCACUGGCUUCAAAAUCCAAAAAUAAAGUGAAAAGAUAUUGCUGUUAAAAUGGAAUUCAAUUAAUUUAAAUUAAGUAUUUAUUUUUAUUUAUCACAGAUGCAUUUGCAGUGUAUUUAUUGACAGAUUUAGUCCUGUAUUUAUUUCUUUUGUGUUUUAUACUUGGUGUGCUUUGCGUUUUCUAAAAUAAAGGUGUAUAUUUUGAA